GCCCAGCUCAUAGCUCCAAGGUUCCUUCCCGA
This 32-nucleotide non-coding RNA is filed under the name Mus musculus (house mouse). Lineage: Eukaryota; Metazoa; Chordata; Mammalia; Rodentia; Muridae. The record is from RNAcentral.